Molecule: long non-coding RNA, 576 nt
Organism: Calypte anna (Anna's hummingbird)
Lineage: Eukaryota; Metazoa; Chordata; Aves; Apodiformes; Trochilidae
Exons: 3
Source: RefSeq, a predicted model, not a curated record
CCGGCUGGCACCUUCCCCCUGCCCCGAUGCCAUUGCCACAGCACUGCUGUCACAUCUGUCACCGUGUCUGUGACAUCUUGUGAGUAGCAGCACCAGCCAGGGGCACCCUUGGACACACCAACAUCCCCAGGACACCACUGGUUUUGGCUGAGCACCACAGCCACACAGGGUGGGGCAUGGAGGAGAAUUGAGGUGCUUGAAGUCCAGAGGUCCUCCUGGUCCCUCCAGCCCUGGAGAAGCCACCCCCAGCCCACUCGAGGAACUUGCAGGACAAGAUUCCCACGUUCUGAUGGUGACCCCAGCCCCACAUGGCUGUGACAGGGGACCCUGGCACCACCAGGAGCGUCAGCUGCAGCUUGGCACUGAACUGCCCAGUGAAAACAGAAAGGAAAGCCAGAGCCUCCUGCUCAGUGCUGGGGAUUUGUUUCCAUGGACUCCAAAGGAGCAGCUCCUGCUUCCCAUCCCUGGAGAAGGAUCAGGACCCUUGCUGGCUGCACUGGGGUCAAGCCCAGGGCACAGAAUUUGGCUGAGGACAGCUCCAGGAUGACCACAGUCACACUCUCUGCCUCCUUCCUA